This 253-nucleotide ribosomal RNA is filed under the name uncultured bacterium. RNAcentral describes it as "partial 16S ribosomal RNA". It matches the Rfam family "Bacterial small subunit ribosomal RNA", at positions 524 to 776 of the family's 1533-position model. The record is from RNAcentral.
UACGUAGGGACCAAGCGUUGUUCGGAUUUACUGGGCGUAAAGGGCGCGUAGGCGGCAAUUCAAGUCAGCUGUGAAAUCUCCGGGCUUAACUCGGAACGGUCAGCUGAUACUGCUUUGCUAGAGUGCAGAAGGGGCAAUCGGAAUUCUUGGUGUAGCGGUGAAAUGCGUAGAUAUCGCUUGGAACGCCAAUGGUGAAAACAGCUCGCUGGGGGUGUGCUGACGCUGAGACACGAAAGCCAGGGGAGCGAACGGG